Molecule: ribosomal RNA, 586 nt
Filed under: uncultured bacterium
Lineage: Bacteria
Description: partial 16S ribosomal RNA
Rfam family: Bacterial small subunit ribosomal RNA
Source: RNAcentral
UGGGGAAUUUUGGACAAUGGGCGAAAGCCUGAUCCAGCAAUGCCGCGUGUGUGAAGAAGGCUUUCGGGUUGUAAAGCACUUUUGUCCGGAAAGAAAUCCUUGGCUCUAAUACAGUCGGGGGAUGACGGUACCGGAAGAAUAAGCACCGGCUAACUACGUGCCAGCAGCCGCGGUAAUACGUAGGGUGCAAGCGUUAAUCGGAAUUACUGGGCGUAAAGCGUGCGCAGGCGGUUUGCUAAGACCGAUGUGAAAUCCCCGGGCUCAACCUGGGAACUGCAUUGGUGACUGGCAGGCUAGAGUAUGGCAGAGGGGGGUAGAAUUCCACGUGUAGCAGUGAAAUGCGUAGAGAUGUGGAGGAAUACCGAUGGCGAAGGCAGCCCCCUGGGCCAAUACUGACGCUCAUGCACGAAAGCGUGGGGGAGCAAACAGGAUUAGAUACCCUGGUAGUCCACGCCCUAAACGAUGUCAACUAGUUGUUGGGGAUUCAUUUCCUUAGUAACGUAGCUAACGCGUGAAGUUGACCGCCUGGGGAGUACGGUCGCAAGAUUAAAACUCAAAGGAAUUGACGGGGUCAUAGCUGUUUCCU